CCUACGGGGGGCAGCAGUGGGGAAUAUUGCGCAAUGGGCGAAAGCCUGACGCAGCAACGCCGUGUGAGGGAUGAAGGUUUUCGGAUCGUAAACCUCUGUCAGAAGGGAAGAAGUGGUGCGGGUCCAACAGGCCCGUAUCUUGACGGUACCUUCAAAGGAAGCACCGGCUAACUCCGUGCCAGCAGCCGCGGUAAUACGGAGGGUGCAAGCGUUAUUCGGAAUUACUGGGCGUAAAGCGCACGUAGGCGGCCUUGUAAGUCAGGUGUGAAAUCCCACGGCUCAACCGUGGAACUGCACUUGAAACUGCGGGGCUCGAAUCCUGGAGAGGGCGGCGGAAUUCCUGGUGUAGGAGUGAAAUCCGUAGAUAUCAGGAGGAACACCGGUGGCGAAGGCGGCCGCCUG
This 402-nucleotide ribosomal RNA is filed under the name uncultured Actinomyces sp. Its description in RNAcentral is "bacterial SSU rRNA". It matches the Rfam family "Bacterial small subunit ribosomal RNA", at positions 338 to 731 of the family's 1533-position model. Lineage: Bacteria; Bacillati; Actinomycetota; Actinomycetes; Actinomycetales; Actinomycetaceae. The record is from RNAcentral.